AUCCUACUCCCUCCGUUCCAUAUUAGUUGUCGCUCAAACGGACGUAUCUAGCACUGAAAUAUGUCUAGAUACAUCCAUUUCGGAGACAACUAAUAUGAAACGGAGGGAGUAUCUC
Molecule: non-coding RNA, 115 nt
Organism: Triticum urartu
Lineage: Eukaryota; Viridiplantae; Streptophyta; Magnoliopsida; Poales; Poaceae
Source: Rfam